UUAGAGGUAAAACAGAGUGUAUAGUGAUAUAUCCAACAAUAUAUUUUUAUUGACAUGUAAAUCACUUGAGCAUGGAUACGAUAAAAUGAGCGUCGUGGUCACCAGCGCCGGAGGGUUUUCGCAAGAAAAUAAUGUGAUGUUUUUGUAUCAUAUAUAUAUGUACAUAUAUAUAUACAUAUAAAGAGAGAAACAGGCGGCGUAGUUCAAGGGUUCCUGAGGGCGUUAAGCCACGACGUUGUAACGAGAAGAAUCCAAGAGAAGAGUCGCCCAGAGCGUCACAUAUUUUAGGGCUUGCAUUUCUCCCCUUCAUUUCUUCUUUUCUCUGGCUUCACUUCGGCACCUCGGGUUUCGUCCACUUGGUGCUGCCUGGAACGUGUCUACCAACCGGGUCGCGGCAGACCCCGGGGCAUUUUUUUCAUCCCGUACCGAUAGAGAUCAAUUCAAAUGAAUUCCACGUAAAGUGUAAUCAUUGUGUGGCAUUUGGCAAAAAGUCGUGGCAUCUCCCGCAAUACUUUUACAUACAUAAGUAUAUAUAUCUACAUAAAAGUAUAUUUACUUGGCUCUUGUCUCUCUCUUAUGGAAUACCUAUCAUCCUUCAAUCGAACUUGCCGUGAGUCCGUGCUUGCUCUGGGCCAUUUCUCUUUCCUUUCUCCCCAGUAUUUUCAUAAUGCAGCCUUGCAAAUAAUUCCGAUUAGAUCACAGAAAAAUAUAAUAUAACCCAGCUUCAAUUGCAAGCCUCCAGGCACUUAUUCUAGAUCAUAACUAAUGAGAACGGAAAUUCUUGAAUACCUAUAAUUUUACAUUGAGACUCGAGGUGCGAUCGUUCUUCCGCAAACCGUUUGCUCCAGCCUCUCUCUUUCACCCUCGAUUCGCUCGACUUGCAUCGCUCGACCCGACCUCCAACUGGGUGUGUGUUUAACCUUUUCCAACUAUAUUCUAUAUAAUACAUAUAUAUACAUAUAAGAGUAAAGUAAAGGGAAAAGAC
Long non-coding RNA from Microplitis mediator, 985 nucleotides. RefSeq lists it as uncharacterized. NCBI's taxonomy places the organism in Eukaryota, Metazoa, Arthropoda, Insecta, Hymenoptera, Braconidae. The record is from RefSeq and is a predicted model, not a curated record. The transcript is spliced from 5 exons.